CGCCGCCCUACCAGGGGGCCCCCGCCGCGGCUGCCGGGAUCGGGGAGACCCGCCCCGCCGUCCCGCCCCCGCCCCCGGCCCCGCCGCACCUAGACCGAAACAGCGCCGCACCCCAGAGCCAGCGGCAGAUGAACCCCGCAAUAAACGUUAAUGAGACUCCCACCCCCUUCGCAUCUCUCCCCGCGGGGAGCAGGCUGGCCGGGAGCCCCAGCUCCCUCCGAAAGGCAGGGGGGACAGGGGGCCCUCCCGGGGCGCUGAGUUUCGCUCGGGAAAACCGUUCGGACUUAAAAAACAUGACGUUGUGCUUUUUCUUGCUGUUAGGGAUUAGCCAUUAUUAGUAUUAUUCGGCUGGUGGACUCAGAGAUUCACCGUGUUGUUAUUCAAACACUGGCUGCAGAGAGGUUUAAGCAUCCGUAGCCCCCUUUAAACCCUGCCCAUUAAGCACUGAAGCAGCAAUAAAAAGAGAAUUAAACUGAACCUUGCAUGGACAUGGAUGCAUCCAGCCGCAGCAACUUUAAUAAUAAUCAUGUUCAGGUGCAUAAAAUAGUUACGGGGUAAAUCCUUUCGCAUCUUGCCACCGUGAUUGAAUCUGAAGGAAAUCAGAUGUGCGAGAGUGCUCGAAACGUGCUAAGCUAGAGGAUCUUGCAAGAGUUUAAACGCCAUCGCGGUGGGGAUGAGAUCGAUGGGGAGAGGAAGGAAGGAAGGAAGGAAAUGGAUGUUAUCUGUCCGAGGGCGCUCCGGCAGCCUCCCCACCCGCCCAUCUCCGACAGCACCUUCCGCGGCCUCGCUUCGCGCUCCCUCCGCCCGCGGCCGCCGGGCCACCCGCUCCACCGCCACCGGUGCGACGGCCCCGGCGGGGCCCGGGGGAGCAGAGCCAACCAACCCGCUUUUCCGCGGAGGAGCCCCUGACCCCUUGCUCUGCACCGCUCCGCACGGCGGGGUGCGCCCAGCUUGCCCGUCCUACGGCAGAUGGACGAAUCGCUAGGAUUAUAUUGUUCUGGGAGGGUGGGUGCUUCUUGUUGUUGUUGAUUUUUUUUCCUUGCCACAUUUCUGUAGGUUGAUCUGUGGCAUGUUGUUUUCAUUCAUUGCCUUUUUAAAAUAAAUGGGUGGAAUUAAAUUUAUCGAACAACCUGUGAUCCAUAUGUCUGUCCGAUUAAUUUUUUUAUGGGAUGAUGAAAGAGAGAAGAAUCUCUCUAUAUAGUGAUCUGCUAAAGGAAUAAUAUCUAUAUUCAAAACACCUUUCUGGGGUUACAUUUACUUCCGGACGUUAAAAUGCAGUCCGGGUUUUUAGGCAGUUGGGUGAGGCGCUACUUAUUUGAUGUAGGAGAAUCGCAUAUUUACACUUCCCGAAAAAAAAUAGUAAUUAAAAAAAAAAAGGUGUUUAAACUGUUUUCCACCAGAAGGGUAUUUUCCUUCGCUGUCUUCGAAAAUCUCGAGUGACAUUUAGGGGAUGGUUAUGACCGUAUUUUGCCAUCCACGGUGUGAUUUUCGCAAAUGUUUUCGAACGUUAAAGCCGAGUGCCAUUAGAAAGUCAAAUAUCCACAGCGUCCUUUUCUCCUUAAAAACACGAUUUUCUGUAACUUCCCAGCAGGGGACCAUAGGAACGGUCACCAAUGAAAACAUCUUUAUAUCAUUAUACGCUUUUUCCCCCAGUGAAAUCGCUUCACCCUAAGGAGACACGGUGUAUAAAACUGACAGCAGGUAGCUGACGGCGACUGGUCAGUGAAACAUGACCAAUUAAAGAAAAAUUAUGGACGCCGGUGAGAAAAUCGUAUGUAAACUCUGUUUCUGUGCAUCCCAAUUGC
Columba livia (rock pigeon) is the source of this 1805-nucleotide long non-coding RNA. RefSeq lists it as uncharacterized. NCBI's taxonomy places the organism in Eukaryota, Metazoa, Chordata, Aves, Columbiformes, Columbidae. The transcript is spliced from 3 exons. The record is from RefSeq and is a predicted model, not a curated record.